CUUUGUCAUCUAGUCUAAUAAAUGAUGAUGCUUCGCCUUUCAAGCCCCAGUUUUGCUUCCUCAUGGGCCUCCAUAUGAACGGAGCAUGACUGAAGCCAGUUCAGAAUGGCAUGCACCUGAGUGAGAAGAAAGCAAAUCAGCAGUGGCCCAAAAAUCGUUUCCACCUUCCUGAUGGAGGAUUGUGUCCCAGGCUGGUGCUUGGUGGCAAGUAGGAGUUCCCUCAGCCCUAGUCUUAUGCUGCCCCUUCUGCUUCACUGGCCUAGCUACCACAACAGCAAAAAAGGGUAUUUUUCACCUGAAUCAGCUUCCUGCUCAGAUCCUGUCAUGGCCAUGCCCUGGAACAUAGCAAGCAAGGCAAUCCAGAAGUAGGUGAUGCCACUGCUUGUCCUCGCACAGUGCUACUGAAAGCCCCUGGCCAAUCCUAUGUAUUUGUUACUCCUCUCGUCUUGAGUUAACUGUCUCUAAGUGGCUCUGUAGACAAAUGCUUUCCAAUUCUAGACUUAUGAUAUAUCUAAAUAGCUACAACGACAAAAUUUGAAAGUGGAAGAACCGUUUUCCUGUUCCUUAGAAUGAAGAAUACAGCAAAAUGUCAACUCUUCCUGGGGCUGCCAACGCCAUCGCUUUCAUCUCCUGUGGUUCCACCGAUGAAGACUUGCUGCUCUGAAAGUCCUGCCUCCCUCACCUGUGAAAGUCACGCCACUGCCUGGCACCUUUUUUCCUUACAGACUCAGCAAAUAACUGAGCUUACAACCUCUAAACCAGCAUCUCACCCUUGCUGCCUUCAUCCCUAUUUCUUCCUCACUUCUAAUUGCAUGGUACAACUUCCUGCCUGGGCCACCUCAGAUGCUUGGCAGACCCUUUGCCAAAUUUCUUAA
Molecule: long non-coding RNA, 875 nt
Filed under: Anas platyrhynchos platyrhynchos (common mallard)
Lineage: Eukaryota; Metazoa; Chordata; Aves; Anseriformes; Anatidae
Description: lncRNA (ENSAPLG00000016663.1)
Source: RNAcentral